AGGUUACUGCUAUCGGUGUUCGCCUAAGCCAUGCGAGUCAUAUGUUCUUCGUGAACAUGGCGUACUGCUCAGUAACACGUGGAUAACCUGCCCUUGGGUCCGGCAUAACCCCGGGAAACUGGGGAUAAUUCCGGAUAACGCAUAUAUGCUGGAAUGCUUUCUGCGUAAAAUGGAUUCGUCUGCCCAAGGAUGGGUCUGCGGCCUAUCAGGUAGUAGUGGGUGUAAUGUACCUACUAGCCGACGACGGGUACGGGUUGUGAGAGCAAGAGCCCGGAGAUGGAUUCUGAGACAUGAAUCCAGGCCCUACGGGGCGCAGCAGGCGCGAAAACUUUACAAUGCGGGAAACCGUGAUAAGGGUACACCGAGUGCCAGCAUCAUAUGCUGGCUGUCCGGGUGUGUAAAAUACACCCGUUAGCAAGGGCCGGGCAAGACCGGUGCCAGCCGCCGCGGUAACACCGGCGGCCCGAGUGGUGAUCGUGAUUAUUGGGUCUAAAGGGUCCGUAGCCGGUUUGGUCAGUCCUCCGGGAAAUCUGAUAGCUCAACUAUUAGGCUUUCGGGGGAUACUGCCAGGCUUGGAACCGGGAGAGGUAAGAGGUACUACAGGGGUAGGAGUGAAAUCUUGUAAUCCCUGUGGGACCACCUGUGGCGAAGGCGUCUUACCAGAACGGGUUCGACGGUGAGGGACGAAAGCUGGGGGCACGAACCGGAUUAGAUACCCGGGUAGUCCCAGCCGUAAACGAUGCUCGCUAGGUGUCAGGCAUGGCGCGACCGUGUCUGGUGCCGCAGGGAAGCCGUGAGGCGAGCCACCUGGGAAGUACGGCCGCAAGGCUGAAACUUAA
RNAcentral lists this ribosomal RNA (839 nucleotides) under uncultured archaeon. RNAcentral describes it as "bacterial SSU rRNA". It matches the Rfam family "Archaeal small subunit ribosomal RNA", at positions 21 to 859 of the family's 1478-position model. The record is from RNAcentral.